Molecule: ribosomal RNA, 649 nt
Filed under: Sarcogyne arenosa
Lineage: Eukaryota; Fungi; Ascomycota; Lecanoromycetes; Acarosporales; Acarosporaceae
Description: SSU rRNA
Rfam family: Bacterial small subunit ribosomal RNA
Source: RNAcentral
AGCGAAAGCUAGUUGUAUUAACUAUUAGUUAAUACAAAAUCGACUAUGUCGACUAAAGUUCUAGGUAGAAUAAUGAUGAUGACAAUUUUCUACCUAUAUGUCUUGACCAAAUCUCGUGCCAGCAGUCGCGGUAAUACGUGAAAGACUAGUGUUAUUCAUCUUUAAUAGGUUUAAAGGGUACCUAGACGGUUUAUCUAGCCCAAAACAGGGUACGGAUUUUCUAGAGUUUUAUGUGAGGAGGGGAGUACUCAUAGAGUAAAGAUGAAAUUUUGUGAUACUAUGGGGAAACUGGUGGCGGCGAAAGCAACCUUCUAUGUAUAAACUGACGUUGAGGGACGAAGGCUUGGGUAGCAAAUAGGAUUAGAUACCCUAGUAGUCCAAGCAGACAAUUCUGAAUGCCAUAGAUUAGAUUUUUUGUGCUAUAAAUGAGAGUGUGAACAUUCCCCCUCAUGAGAAUAGUGGGGCCACACGAGCUGAGAUCUUUAGAGAGCGUCUGAGACCCGAAGAGAGAAAUGUGAUAUAAAAUGAGAGACCUCACAAAAACUUAUACCACCUUGUAUGUUAUUUUAUUAUUACACACGUUGCGCAGCUGUGUCCUCAGUUAGUGUCGAGAUAUUGUGUAACUCUCCUACUUAUCGCAUACACCUAC